RNAcentral lists this long non-coding RNA (2346 nucleotides) under Mus pahari (shrew mouse). RNAcentral describes it as "lncRNA (MGP_PahariEiJ_G0005024.1)". The stretch from base 1336 to 1502 matches the Rfam family "HOXA transcript at the distal tip, conserved region 4". Lineage: Eukaryota; Metazoa; Chordata; Mammalia; Rodentia; Muridae. The record is from RNAcentral.
GUAAAACUCAACAGUGACAAAGAGAUGAAGUACCGGUUCCAGGCUCCAAUUCUCGGAGACUCGAGGGCAGUUUACAUACAGGUACAAGGGAACCAGCCUGGAGGCAGCCAUCAGGAAGAGCCCUCGGGAAGAGAUAACAGAGAGAACUCUCACUGCAUCACUCUCUGUUUCUUACAGAGUCUCAAAGAAGGGAGAAGGCACCUCCGCUCACACCCCUUCCCCGUUUUAGAAGCACUAGCAGCAGGUUUCAGGCUCUGGCGAGCAGCAGCCCCUACCCACGCUGCCUGAGAUCCCUUCUCUCGAGUGAGUGAUUUAGAUGGUGCCGAGAGCUCUCUCGGUGUUCUAAUGGCGUCACUGCGCUGCCCUUCACCACGUCUGGAAACUGAGACUUCACCUAAAGGACUAACCCUAAUGUGAGUUGGAUGCAGAGGGACCGAAUUCCUGUAAAUAGAGGGUCAACCUGAAGGAAUACGCUUCUUUCCACAGUGAGUGAGUGGCAGGCAGCCCGACCAGGGCACCAGCUUACAGGACUCUGGGAGUGAGCUCAGGGCCACUGGGAAGGAUGUUGGCAGAAUGGAGUACCUCCUGGCAACCCGGCGCCUGCAGCUGCCAUGUGAAAAGGACUCCCUCUCAACCUGGGUGAUGCUCACUGCACGCAACAAAACAGGAAACCAGCGCCGGGCUUUAUAUCAACAAUUACACCGUAGACGGCCUCGAGAGUUCGAAGGAAGUAGGGGGUUUGCGUCUAAGUCUGGUGCUGAUGGGCUCGGUGUUUUUCCCUGAGAAAUCAGCGUGGAGCCAGGAGAGCUGGGCCCACAUGGGUCCUCCGUAAGGACACUCCCCAUCUGGCUGUGAAUUCUUAAUAGACAAAGCAACAGAGGGAGGGAAACUCAUCAGCAAGGAGAAAGGGGAAAACUCAAGACCCCUUCAAGUACACACUGAGGUGUAAUCAGAUUUUACAGGCACAUUAUAUACUGUAACCAUAGCGAUGUGUGUGCCUUCAUAUGCACACGCACAGAUUCACACAUCAAAUGUACACAGACACAAGCGUAGUGAAAUACAGUCAUUAUGCCAAGUUCUAAGGGGAAAAAAAAAAUCACCUUGUCAAAGCAGCCUGGUGGCCAGUUUCCUGUCCUCUGGUUCAAUUCAGCUUUCUCCAACCACUGGUCCUCCCUCCUGGGUCUGUAAAUACGGUAAAUACACCUGUCUUCAGUGGAAGGUGAGCGGUCCAUCAGCAUUUGUCUGGUUCAGAUGGCCUCCCCUAGAAUCUCUGGACCCUCCCGGAGCUGUUCCGAGCUUGUGAGGGAGCCGAGGGAGCCUCCAGCUGCAGUCCUUUGUCUAUGGGACUAGAUCCCUUCGUGGCCCAAUGCUCUGGGAAAUGAAGCAGCGCAAUAAAAACUUUUGAUAUUAGUUUUUAUAGGUAUUUACACUUUGGUGAGGGUAGCUGGGUACGGAAGCUUCGUUAAUCAGCCCCCGACCUUAGGUUCGGGUGGGAAAAGGAGCUGGCCGGAAAGGAAAGAAAGCAUCGGGAAGUCGGAGAGAAUGAAAAACAAAACAAAACUGCACAAGGUCAUUUUCUGUUCCUGGAAACUGAGUAAGUGGCCAUUCCAGGGGCUACCCAGUUGGCCACUCCCUCCUGCUUUGUACAGGGAAAAUGUUUUCUGCCUUUGCCUAAUACAAUAACUACACUUUAAAAUAUAUUUUCCCCCAAUACAUAUAAAAGUGUAGCAAGCCCCUCUACAUCCAAUUUAUCUUUGACUUUAUUAUCAUUUUAUCUUGCAUACCUUUUUUGAUAUUUAAAGCUUAAUUAAAUCCCAGGCAUUGAACUGCUUCAUUCUCAAUAGAAGGUUUUGAGAAUUUUCAAGAUUGUGAGAAAGGGGUGAACUGGAGUUGUUUGAGCUAAGGACUAGAGAGAACCCAAGGUUUCAUCAAGAAGGAACCUGGAGCAAAAAGAUUUCCGAUCUUAUAUGAAAUUGUAUGUGUCUUCUUUAUAAAAAUUAUACAUGCGGGGGAGGGUUAUAUCAACUUCUCUGAGUCCUUUCACUGAAGAUUUCUGUUCGCUUAAGACUGAUGUGGGGGUAAGGGGUACUGCCCUAUAUCCUAACUUGAUACAUUUUCAUGUUAAACAAAUGCCUAUUUCCUAUUUCAAAACACCUCUUUCCCUAUAGAUGUCUCAUAGAAAUUUCUAAUGCUUAAACUAAGAGGAGAAAGGGUGGACUGGAUUAAUAUCAAAGUUACCAUGGUUUUCUAGGGAAAAAAAUGUAGCUUUGUAUGCCUUUUAAAAUAUUCCUUCUGCAACAUGAGAUCUUUAAAAUACUAAAUAAACGCAUGAAUGUUUUGUUUGUA